CUUCUCAGAACUGUAUCUGGCAACGUGCUCCAAAUUCCUUGCUCAUAAAUAAUAGCAGGGGCUAGAUGUGACACCUUUCUUUGUUCUCAUCCUGUCUGUGCCAUGAUGUCGCCAUCGCUGUGGGGCCACUGGUGCAGGAUGGGGUGGUGGGAAGCAGGGCUGGCGUGCCUGCGCCUUCUUGAAGGAGGCCUUUGCAUGUUUCCGCUUGUUAAAAUGGCCAUGUGAGAUAAAGUCUGUGGUUUCCUCUGAGCAUAUGAGCAAGGGGGGCGAAGCAGCAGCGGCUGCAGAGCUGCAGCCAGUCUCCACCCGUGAGCCUCCCCCAAGAUGGAUGCUGCUGGUGAGACCCCCGUGGGGACCCUCCCUGGGGAAGAGAGCCCUGAGAUGGAUCUGUCCCACCAGUUCUCCAAGAGAGAGCUGGCCCUGCUCUAUGAGGAGGUCCUCUACACCAUCCGGCACCGCUUGGGCAAGCCUGAGCACCACCAUGUCGUGGAUUCCCAGGAGCUCUAUGCCUACGUGCAAAAGGGCAGCAUCCACUACCUGAUAUCUACACAGGCUUUCGGCAUGGAUGCAGAGGGGCACAGUGUCAUCAUGCAGCAGGUCAAGGAACUAGAGAGCCCUAUUUUCUGCCUGAAAGCAACUGUGAAGGAAGCCAAGGGGAUUUUGGGUAAAGACGUCAGUGGGUUCAGUGACCCAUACUGCCUGCUGGGCAUCAAGACCAAGAGCCAGGAACUGGCCAACCCUGACCACAAGAAGCGGAUGAAGGCUGUGGUCAAAGACCUCAUCCCUGAAGACCAGAUCCACCGCACACAAGUUAUAAGUCAGACCCUCAGCCCGGUGUGGGAUGAGACAUUUAUCCUGGAGUUUGAAGACAUGGAGACAGCCAGCUUCCACCUGGACAUGUGGGACUCGGACAUCGUGGAGUCAGUGCGGCACAAACUGGGGGAGCUGACAGACCUCCAUGGCCUCAAACGGAUCUUUAAAGACGCUCGCAAAGACAAAGGGCAGGACGAUUUCCUGGGGAAUGUGGUCCUUCACCUGAAGGACCUGCACUGCUGGAAUGACCAGUGGUACCAGCUGGAGCCACGGACAGAGACGUACCCGAACCGGGGACAGUGUCACCUGCAGUUCCUGCUGACACACAAGAAGAGGGCCACCACGAGCAGCCGGACACAGCCAAGCUACACUGUCCAUCGCCACCUCCUGCAGCAGCUGGUGUCCUAUGAGAUCCUUCAGCACCAGGCCGGCAGCAUUGCCUGGGACGGGGAGCUGAGCAGGCACGCCAGCACUGUGCUGUACCUGCAUGCCACGCAGAAGGAUCUCUCUGACUUCCACCAGGUCAUAGCGCGGUGGCUGGCAUACAGCAAGCUCUACCAGAGCCUUGAGUUCAACAGCAACUGCCUGCUACAUCAGAUCACCAGCAUCGAGUACCAGUGGGUGCAGGAGCGCCUGAGGCCAGAGCAGAAAGCAGAGCUGGCUGAGUCCUUCCAGUCCUUGCUGACUUACGGGGUCUCCCUCAUUCGGAGGUACCGCAUCAUUUUCCCACUGUCUGUCCCAAGGUCCACGGAGAGGCUCCAGUCCCUGCUCCGAGUCCUGGUCCAGAUGUGCAAAAUGAAAGCUUUCCAUGAGCUGUGCACACUCAGCCCCAACCUCCCCAACAUGGUCUCCACAGCACUGAAGUCAGGCACAACAGAGUGGUUUCAUAUGAAGAAGCAGCACCUCAAGCCCAUGGUGAAGAGCAUGGAGGAGAAUGGCAAAGCCUUGUCCAGACUCCUCCUGGAGGUGUUAGGAGAUCUCCAAGAGUGCCAGAAAAUCUGGAAUAGAUUUUUCAUCAGCACCUUGAAGUUGAAUCUAUUCUCCAUCGCCUACCUGGAGCUGGAGAGGCUGGUCGCGGAGCAUGUCCAGGAGCAGCUACGCAAGGUCAACAGCAGCAUGUCCAAACCCACAGCCGAGAGCCUUUUCCAGCUCUACAUGAACCUCCAGGAGCUCUAUCGGAUGAAGGACUUCGUCCCAAAGAGGGAUGGACCUCUGGCUCUGAACAAUUUCCACCAGUGGUUCAAGGAAGAUGUGCCCCAGUGGCUGCAGAAGGCCUACACCAUUGCGCUGGAGAGGGCACAGAGAGCUGUCCAAAUGGACCAGCUGACACCCUUCGGGGAGCACAACAAGCACAGCACUUCCACUGUUGACCUGUCCACCUGCUAUGCCCAGAUUGUGAAGACCUGGCAGCAGCUCAACUGGCCGGACCCUGAGGAAGCCUUCAUGAUCAUGGUGAAGCUUGUGGAGGACAUGUGUAGAAUUGCCCUGAUGUACUGCCGGCUCAUCAAGGGGAGGGCUGAGGCUCUGUCGCUGAGCAAGCAGAACGAGGGCGAAGAGGCCAACAGGCUCUGCAUCGUGGUGAACAACAUCAAGCAGCUGCGGCUGCUGAUCCUGAAGCUGCCAUCACAGCUGGACUGGGUGCAGCUGGAGCAGCGCACAGGACCCGUCAUUGACCAGCAGCAGAUCCAGCACACGCUGCACAACCAGCUCGACAGCACCAUUUCCUGCCUGGACCAUGAGGUCCAGGAGGUGGUGCAAGCCCUGGCCACCAAGCUGGAAAAGGGCGUUGCCAGACACAUCCAGGAGCUCUCAUCUUCUAAUGACACCCAGGAGCCUGAGGAUUCCAUCAUUCCCCUCAUGAAGUUCCUGGAGUCGGAGCUGCAGUAUCUCAAUGAGCAUCUGGUCCAGGAGAACUUCAAAAGCCUCCUCACUCUCCUCUGGCAUCACACCUUGGCUGUGCUGUCAGCAGCCAUGGGGCAGCAGGUCCCCUCGGUCCAGUGCUACAAGAAACUGCACUGUGCCCUGAAGAGCCUGGAGCUGUGCUUCCAUGCUGAGGGCUGUGGGCUGCCGCUGGAGAUGCUCCACACAGCAGUCUUCCAGUCUCUGGAGACUCGCCUGGACCUCUGCUCUGCUACCAGCCGCAAACUCAUCCAGAAAUACUUCUGCAACAGGAUCCAGCAGCAGCUGGACGCCAGCUCGGAGAAAUACGGGGCCGUGACCAUCAAAGCACUGUACUACCCUUCAGAGCAGAAACUCCAUGUGGAAGUGCUCAAUGCUGUCAACCUCAUACCUUUGGACUCCAACGGCUCCAGUGACCCCUUCGUCCAGCUCACGCUGGAGCCCCGGAAUGAGUUCCCCGAGGUGGUGGCCCGGACCACUCAGUGCAAGAGGAAUGAGCUGCACCCCCUCUUCGAUGAAGCCUUUGACUUGUAUCUUGGUCCCCGCCGAGAAGUGCCAGCAGGAGGGUGCCUGCCUGCUCCUGACCGUUUUUGACUAUGACACACUGGGGGCCAACGACCUGGAGGGCGAAGCCUUCUUCCCCCUCUGCCACCUGCCUGGCCUCAACAGCGAUGAGGACUCGGUUGAUGCAGGACGGGUGCCCCAGACCCGCCUCCCUCUCACCCACCCCAAACCCACUGGAGAUGAGAUUCUCCAGCUGCUGGAGUCCAGGAAGGGGGACAAAGAGGCUCAGGCCUUUGUUAAGCUCCGCAAGCAACGAGCCAAGCAGUCCAAGGAGAGAGAGUGAGGCAGAGCGGCCUGAAAUGGGGGGUGUCCAGCCAAUGGGACCUCUCUGGAAUUUUCCUGGUGCUGGAGAUAGAGCCAUCUGCAGGGACCAGGAGAGAGAGGGGGUCCCUGUGCCCUGCAAACCUUCCCGGCAUCCACCUUACCCCCGCCCUUGGGUAGCAGUGCUCCUGUGAGGGGAGGGUGGACACCCAGUAUUUCAGGGCAUUUCUUUGCCUGUCUGGACUAGCAACACUACUCUGGGGAUGUGAAAGUGCCUGGCUGUCCCUGCCCUUCCCCCAUUAGCUUGUCACUGCUGGUGCCACAUCUCUUGGCUGUGUCCCCAACACUCCUGUCUGCAGCAUGGUGUCAGGGCAAAGUAAGGGCAUUGUCAUUUAUUUGGGAUGGGAACAACCAGUGGUCACACCUGCCUUUUUUUUUUUUUUUUUGCUUCCCCCUUCCCCCACCCAAUCUAUUCUUUCCCCUCUUUUUUCCUGUGGAUAAGCCUCUAAUUUUAAAUUAAAAGCUACAAA
Molecule: RNA transcript, 4067 nt
Organism: Strigops habroptila (Kakapo)
Lineage: Eukaryota; Metazoa; Chordata; Aves; Psittaciformes; Psittacidae
Gene: UNC13D
Gene name: unc-13 homolog D
Exons: 32
Source: RefSeq, a predicted model, not a curated record